RNAcentral lists this transfer RNA (73 nucleotides) under Octopus sinensis (East Asian common octopus). Its description in RNAcentral is "tRNA-Lys". It matches the Rfam family "tRNA". From Rfam's summary of the family: Transfer RNA (tRNA) molecules are approximately 80 nucleotides in length. Lineage: Eukaryota; Metazoa; Mollusca; Cephalopoda; Octopoda; Octopodidae. The record is from RNAcentral.
GCCCGGCUAGCUCAGUCGGUAGAGCACGAGACUCUUAAUCUCGGGUCGUGGGUUCGAGCCCCACGCUGGCGUA